UACGAAGGGGGCUAGCGUUGCUCGGAAUCACUGGGCGUAAAGCGCACGUAGGCGGACUCUUAAGUCGGUGGUGAAAUCCUGGAGCUCAACUCCAGAACUGCCUUCGAUACUGAGAGACUCGAGUCCGGGAGAGGUGAGUGGAACUGCGAGUGUAGAGGUGAAAUUCGUAGAUAUUCGCAAGAACACCAGUGGCGAAGGCGGCUCACUGGCCCGGUACUGACGCUGAGGCGCGAAAGCGUGGGGAGCAAACGGG
Molecule: ribosomal RNA, 253 nt
Filed under: uncultured bacterium
Lineage: Bacteria
Description: partial 16S ribosomal RNA
Rfam family: Bacterial small subunit ribosomal RNA
Source: RNAcentral